Molecule: non-coding RNA, 21 nt
Filed under: Caenorhabditis elegans
Lineage: Eukaryota; Metazoa; Nematoda; Chromadorea; Rhabditida; Rhabditidae
Source: RNAcentral
UAUGCCUUAUCACAAUAUUUU